AUUCCAGCUCCAGUAGCGUAUAUUAAAGUUGUUGCAGUUAAAAAGCUCGUAGUUGGAUUUCUGAUAGUAGCGUUGGGCCCGCCCGGGUUACCGGUGUGAGUGCCUGUUCGCUCCUUUCAUCCUUCUAGAGAACGGUUCUCUCCUUCAUUGGCAGUGGGAUCGCAAUCUAGAUCUUUUACUUUGAAAAAAUUAGAGUGUUUAAAGCAGGCUUGUGCUAUGAAUACAUUAGCAUGGAAUAAUAAUUUAGGACUUUAGUUCUAUUUUGUUGGUUUCUAGAACUGAAGUAAUGAUUGAUAGGGAUAGUUGGGGGUGCUAGUAUUCAGCGGCCAGAGGUGAAAUUCUUGGAUUCGCUGAAGACUAACUUAUGCGAAAGCAUUCACCAAGGAUGUCUUCAUUG
This 397-nucleotide ribosomal RNA is filed under the name Reckertia sp. RNAcentral describes it as "partial small subunit ribosomal RNA". It matches the Rfam family "Eukaryotic small subunit ribosomal RNA", at positions 582 to 975 of the family's 1831-position model. Lineage: Eukaryota; Cercozoa; Imbricatea; Thaumatomonadida; Thaumatomastigidae. The record is from RNAcentral.